UGACAUGUAGCUCACUGGUAGAGCAGCCCAUUGGCUGGGCAAGGUCUGAGUUUGAUUCCUAUCCUGUCAU
Picea glauca (white spruce) is the source of this 70-nucleotide non-coding RNA. NCBI's taxonomy places the organism in Eukaryota, Viridiplantae, Streptophyta, Pinopsida, Pinales, Pinaceae. The record is from Rfam.